AUUGAACGCUGGCGGCAUGCUUUACACAUGCAAGUCGGACGGCAGCGGGGUAGUGCUUGCACUACUGCCGGCGAGUGGCGAACGGGUGAGUAAUAUAUUGGAACGUACCGAGUAAUGGGGGAUAACCAAUCGAAAGAUUGGCUAAUACCGCAUACGCUCUGAGGAGGAAAGCAGGGGACCUUCGGGCCUUGCGUUAUUCGAGCGGCCAAUAUCUGAUUAGCUAGUUGGUGGGGUAAGGGCCUACCAAGGCGACGAUCAGUAGCGGGUCUGAGAGGAUGAUCCGCCACACUGGGACUGAGACACGGCCCGGACUCCUACGGGAGGCAGCAGUGGGGAAUUUUGGACAAUGGGCGCAAGCCUGAUCCAGCCAUGCCGCGUGUCUGAAGAAGGCCUUCGGGUUGUAAAGGACUUUUGUUAGGGAAGAAAAAGGAGCGGUUAAUACCCGUUUCUGCUGACGGUACCUAAAGAAUAAGCACCGGCUAACUACGUG
RNAcentral lists this ribosomal RNA (490 nucleotides) under uncultured bacterium. RNAcentral's name for it is "partial 16S ribosomal RNA". It matches the Rfam family "Bacterial small subunit ribosomal RNA", at positions 30 to 507 of the family's 1533-position model. The record is from RNAcentral.